CCGAGUUAUACAACUCAUCAAACCCUGUGAACAUACCUAUAACGUUGCCUCGGCGGGAACAGACGGCCCCGUAACACGGGCCGCCCCCGCCAGAGGACCCCCUAACUCUGUUUCUAUAAUGUUUCUUCUGAGUAAACGAGCAAAUAAAUUA
Molecule: unclassified non-coding RNA, 151 nt
Filed under: soil metagenome
Description: partial internal transcribed spacer 1
Source: RNAcentral